Molecule: ribosomal RNA, 290 nt
Filed under: Polyplax ellobii
Lineage: Eukaryota; Metazoa; Arthropoda; Insecta; Psocodea; Polyplacidae
Description: partial large subunit ribosomal RNA
Rfam family: Archaeal large subunit ribosomal RNA
Source: RNAcentral
GGUAGCAUAAUAAUUUGUCUUUUAAUUGAAGACUGGAAUGAACGGUUUCACCGAAGCUUGACUGUCUCCUUUUUUACUUAAUAAAAUUUAAAUUUUGAGUGAAAAUGCUCAAAUUUUUUAAAGGGACGAGAAGACCCUGUAGAUCUUGGCUGAGGUUAAAUUAAUUUUUACCAAUGUUUACCUGGGAGGGGGUUUUUAAUGAACUAAAUUGAAUUAACGACUAAAAGUCUAAUUUGUGGAUCCUAAUCGGAAAGAAUGUUUAAGUUACCUCAGGGAUAACAGCGCUAUCA